AAACCCUGUCUCGAAAAUCCAAAAAAGAAAAAACAACUUUUAUAGGGUGAAUAACCACUGGUGUUUUGGGAGUCAACCUAGGGUAUAGUGAUUCAUUGUGUAUGUGGCCAAGAAUGUAUUGACCUCACCUAUGUACCCAGUCAACAUCAGGAGCAGUUGAUGCUCAGGCAGGGGCUGAAGGGAUCUCAUGAAGGUUCCUAUUUGAAAAAUAGACAUGAUGAUCAUAUUUGCACAACAGAACUUUUAUGACAAUCAAAUUUACUGUAUCAUGGGUAGUAGGAACUCAAGAGUGCCAUCUGUGUGUAGAAUCAACAUCUUUAACCUUGAAUGG
Long non-coding RNA from Microtus oregoni (creeping vole), 331 nucleotides. RefSeq lists it as uncharacterized. NCBI's taxonomy places the organism in Eukaryota, Metazoa, Chordata, Mammalia, Rodentia, Cricetidae. The transcript has 3 exons. The record is from RefSeq and is a predicted model, not a curated record.